GAUGAACGCUGGCGGCGUGCCUAAUACAUGCAAGUCGAGCGAAGCGGGGACGGGUGAGUAACAAGUGGAUAACCACCUAUAGGACUGGGAUAAAUACGGGAACCCGACGCUAAAACAGAUUAUCAUAUAUUGAUACGCGCUGCAUUAGCUAGUUGGUAAGGUAACGGCUUACCAAGGCAACGAUGCAUAGCCGACCUGAGAGGGGGAUCGGCCACACUGGAACUGAGACACGGUCCAGACUCCUACGGGAGGCAGCAGUAGGGAAUCUUCCGCAAUGGGCGAAAGCCUGACGGAGCAACGCCGCGUGAGUGAUGAAGUUCUUCGGAUCGUAAAACUCUGUUAUUAGGGAAGCGGUACCUAAUCAGAAAGCCACGGCUAACUACGUGCCAGCAGCCGCGGUAAUUC
RNAcentral lists this ribosomal RNA (405 nucleotides) under uncultured bacterium. Its description in RNAcentral is "partial 16S ribosomal RNA". It matches the Rfam family "Bacterial small subunit ribosomal RNA", at positions 28 to 526 of the family's 1533-position model. The record is from RNAcentral.